Molecule: unclassified non-coding RNA, 146 nt
Filed under: Xanthomonas phaseoli pv. phaseoli
Lineage: Bacteria; Pseudomonadati; Pseudomonadota; Gammaproteobacteria; Lysobacterales; Lysobacteraceae
Description: sau-50
Source: RNAcentral
UGAAUGCAGGAUUCUUCGAAGCAGCGAUCUUGAUGCUGUCGCCGGUCUUCGGAUUGCGGCCGGUGCGCUCGGCGCGCUCACGGACCUGGAAGGUACCGAAGCCAACGAGGGUGACGGCGUCGCCCUUCUUCAGUGCCUUGGUGAUU